GUAGGGAAUAUUGCACAAUGGGGGAAACCCUGAUGCAGCGACGCCGCGUGAGUGAUGAAGGCCUUCGGGUCGUAAAGCUCUGUCGUAUGGGACUAACACAAUGAAGGUACCAUGCAAGAAAGGAUCGGCUAACUUCGUGCCAGCAGCCGCGGUAAGACGAGGGAUCCUAGCGUUGUUCGGAAUCAUUGGGCGUAAAGCGGGUGUAGGCGGAUUUAUAAGUCAGGUGUGAAAUCCCAGGGCUCAACCCUGGAAGUGCACUUGAUACUGUAAAUCUUGAGUGUGGUAGAGGUUACUGGAAUUGUUGGUGUAGUGGUGAAAUACGUAGAUAUCAACAGGAAUACCGGAGGCGAAGGCGAGUAACUGGGCCAACACUGACGCUGAGACCCGAAAGCGUGGGGAUCAAACAGGAUUAGAUACCCUAGUAGUCC
RNAcentral lists this ribosomal RNA (428 nucleotides) under uncultured bacterium. RNAcentral's name for it is "bacterial SSU rRNA". It matches the Rfam family "Bacterial small subunit ribosomal RNA", at positions 354 to 796 of the family's 1533-position model. The record is from RNAcentral.